GGCGGGAAAGGGAGGGAGCGGGGCGGGCACCCGAGCGGGACACCCGGGCGGGGGCCGAGAAGGUGUUUUCUCCCCCGCCCCCGGGGCUCGCAGCGAGGGAGGAAGCUGGUGGAAAGCUGGGCCCACGACUGGCGCGGGGAAUCGAUGACUCGGCUGGUGGGCACGGCCACCUGGGUGGGGGCAGCGGAGGGGGGCGGCGGAGCGCCGAUGUCAUGGAUGGGCUCCGAGGGGCUUGCGGGAGGGGGGCCACAAGUGUUCGGGGCCGUUUUGGCGGCGAGGCGUGAUAAGCGGGAGCUGCGGUGCUCACGCUCGCCUAGCCGACCGCCAUUUCACAUCCUGCGGAGGAGGCGGGGGGCAGCCGCGGAGACAGCUUUUUACAAGGAUGCCAUUGCUUUCCUUUUGCAUCUGAAGCAAGUUCUGGUUCAAAUGGAGAGUGUAGCCUUUUGGAAUGGUCCACUAAAUCAACCAUUGAUGUAAUAUGCUUGCCUUGUCUCAUCACUGUGACUCCUUGAGUUCCUAGAUCCGUAGAUCCAUCAGAAUCCUGUGUUUAUGACACAUCAUGAAGACUAUAUGCAAAGAGGGUGGCAAGAAAGAAAAGAUGCACACAUUGCCUCCUCUGCUUGAAUGUAAGAUCCAUUGUACCACCGGACUUCAUUUAUAAAACAGACGUUCAAACAUAAAAGUGUGAAGAUUUUUAAAAUGGUGACUGCAGAACACUAAACCAAGCACUGUGCCCUGUAGAACUGCACAGUUUGCAUGCCCAUGAAGUUGACCCUGAGCUCAGUGUUUCUCAAGGGCUUCUGAUGUGUUAGGUGAAACAAGUCUACAUUGUACAGCAUAUUUAACAUCCCUGGCCCCUGGGCACUACAUGCAACUCUGACAAAAAUGCCCCCCCAAGAGGAGUUACUACUCUCCACUGAACUUCUGGAGUGCACUCCACUGUCUCCGGCUGGGAACCAUGGUCAUUACAGAUCCAAGCAAGGUUUUUGCUAGUGAUUCUCAGGGAAAAAUAGAGUUGAGUUUAAAAGAUUUCAGAAGUCUCAUACCGGAGAGAACAAAAUUAUGGUGACCUUUUUCCCAUUGUCAGAAAAAUACUACUAUCUGCAUUGUGAUGAAAUAAAUAUUUGGGAUGAAAGUUUAAAAGUUAUCAGUGGGUUUUAUGUGUCACAUGGAUAUAAAUGGCAGUUGACUCCAGAUAGAUGGCAAUUUCUGGUAGUUAAGAAAAAAAGUAGAGAACUACAGGAAAGUAAAGAGAACUAUCUCACUGUCAUUAUCUUCAUCAAUUGGCUGAAGGGAGAAAAAUUUAAAAUGCCCUCAAGAAAAAUUGAGGAAGUCGCCAUAAAAAGCUGUGGUACUCUUAAUAGAUUUUGAACUUAGUUUCAUUGUAUCUCUCUUUUUUAAGUUUUGGUUCUUGAUUUAAGUAUAUUAACAUCAUAACACAUUAGAGCUGAAACAAGAUAUUCUAGAUCAUUUGUUUUCUUUAUCCCUACACUGGUAUUAGCUAUGUAGAGAUUAAAAGCUCUAGCUCUAUAGACCUGGCCUUGCCUUUGCUAAUGCUGAACCUCAGUUUUUUCCUCAACAAAAUGAGGAUAAGUGUAUAUUAUCUUAGGCUGUAAGUCAUUCUACCAAAAGCCAAUUCAGUAAAAAGUAAUUUUACCAGAGAAUAUGUUUGUUAAAUAAAUUUAAGGUGGAUUUUCUAUAAAACAAGUAUUUGGUAAAUUUAACUACCUAAUUCUUUGGCAAAUUAAUUUUUAGCAAAUUGGACUGUUUUCCAUCCCUAUUAGGCUUAUUAUAUGAAUUAAAUGAACUAUUGCACACAUACAGAGAGUGCUCAGUAAGUCUUAGCUAUAUAAUUGCUCCAACAUUCUGACUUGAAGCCUUGCCCAUUCUCUCUCUGAAUAUUCCCCAUUCCUGCCCACAUAAUUGACCUUCUGUAGGCUUUCACUACCUUUAGGUAGACUAUUGCAGUAGUCACUUAUUGGCCUCUUGGUUCAUUCCCCUCCAUACUUACUUUCUACACCACGACAAGGGUGGUCUAUCACAUAAAUUUUAAAUUAUCAACUACAAUAUAAUAGUCAUUUCACCUUUUUUAUAUAUCCUUUAGCACCACUGGAGUACUUACAGUUCCUUAAAUAUACCUUUUUUUUUUUUUUUUUAAGCAUCAGAUUUCUCUGCCUUUGCCUUUCUAACUGGAAUAUCUUCCCUCUUCUUGUCUCCUGCCAAAAUUUUUAUUCAUCUUUCAAGUUUUAGUUAAAAUGCCAUUUCCCUUGUAAAAGUCUCCCUGACUUCCCCAAACAAAUUUAGGUGUUCUUUCCAGGCUCCCACUUUUUUUGGUACAUGCUUCUAUUAUAACUCUUAGAUUAUUGUAGUUGUAGUUUGUCAUUGUAAUAGAAUAUAAUCUCCUUGAAGGAAAGGACCCUGUCUUUUUAUCUUUUAUAUACUAGCCCCAUGUAUAGUGGCUAGACUAUAUCUUCAAUGUUUAUUGAAUUAAAAAAUUAAAAGAUCUAUUUACAAACCUCACUACUGCUUUCCCGCUACACCUCCGUUUUAUAGAUCAGGAAACUGAGGCCCAAAGAAGUGAAGCUAUUUAGCAAGAACCUAAGCCUUCUAACUCCAGAUCUAUUACUUUUACUUCUUUACUGUAGAGAAUCUUCUGAGUAGGGUCUAUAUGCUAGUCAUUUCUGUUGUAGGAAAUGGACUGUCCUGUCAGUGUCUUUCCAUUUAUUUCUAAUCUAGGGAAUAAGCAGAAGGGCAUAGUGAUCUGGCAAAAUUUGUAUUUUCUUUCCUUUUUUUUUUUUAAGAUUUUAUUUAUUUAUUUGACAGAGAGAGGCACAGCGAGAGAGGGAACACAAGCAGGGGGAGUGGGAGAGGGAGAAGCAGGCCUCCCGCAGAGCAGGGAACCCGAUGCGGGGCUCAAUCCCCAGACACUGGAAUCAUGACCUGAGCAGAAGGCAGACGCUUAACCGACUGAGCCACCCAGGCGCCCCUGUAUUUUCUUUCUUAUUUAAUUAUUUGGUUGCUUUUGUUUGUUUUCUAGUAAAUUCAGUGGAAGUCAAGGUAAAUUAUUUGUCUUAACCACCCCCAGGGGACAUUUGGUAAAAUGUCUGGAGACAUUUUUGAUUAUCACAUCUGAAGGACUGCUACCUAUAUCAAGUAGGUAAGAAUCCAGGAAUGCAGCUAAAUAUCUUAUAAUGCAUAGGACAGCCCCCAUAACAGAGAGAAUUAUCUGACCCAAAAUGUCAAUAGUGCCAAGGCUGAAAAGCCCUGAUCUAGUCCAAAGGAAAUUUUUACUCAGCCCUUCAUCCACUGUGUUGCCUCUAUGAAACCAUGAUGGAAAAGAAACUCAUUCCCCACCCCACCCCUCCCCCAAGGGAUUUGGAAGCCCUAUAUGGUGAACUCUGGAAGCAAUUGCUAUCAACUAUGCACUCUCAAAAGACUUCAUGCAGGUUUCCCCCCAUGGAUUCAUAGCACCUGCCUGGGUGUAAGAUAGGUACACAAAUAUGUAUUGCCUGAAUGAUGAUUAAGUAUAUUUUAACCAAAAGAAUGGGGUUUUAUUUCUUUUUUUAAAACUAAAGGGAAGUCAAAUCAAUCAUUGUGGUGAGAAUUUCUGUUCUUAUCUUUUUAUUUCAGUUACAGGAAGAAGCAAAACUUUUUAAAAACAACUCUCAACUCACCCACUUCCAUAAAUUAGCAGUAAUAGUUUUAAGGGAAAGGCCAAUGGGCCUAUAAAUUAAAGAUGAUGUUUGAGGAACAAAAAAUAAGAGAAGCUUUCAGAAUAAAGUAAUAUUAGAGCUGAUGCAUGAGCUCUCCAGGACCCUCAUUUAAAUUAUAUAUCCAGAAUUGAAACCAGAGCAUUUCUGAUGGAUUAUGGCUAGGCAGGGGAAGAGACCAAACACACGUGGAGUAAGGUUAGAUUAAGUUCCCAAUUUAAAUAAUCAAGAUACGGAAUCUCAGAAGCAAGGUGUCAUAUAGAGCAGCAUAUCUCAGGGUAGUAUUCCCUGGCCCCAAUGUCCCCACUGCACUUUUAUAUCUACAGUUUAAAUCACAUUCCAGGAAAACUUCCACUAAUAAUCUUUGUUAUUGACAGUGAACUCUCCUGAGUUUUGAUCCUCAUUUUAUAUCCUCAUUCCAGGGUUCAGGAAAGACUAUCCUCAAAUGUGUAGAUACAAAUCAACACUUACAUUUAUUUUCUCAGUAAAAUGUAUUUUUCCAGUCUUAAAGGUUUUAAAUGCAUAGCAUAGGAAAUACGGAAAACCAUAAAGAAAAUAUAUUCAGUCCCACCCAGAGGCAGUUAUAAUUAACAUUUUAGUCCAUUUUUCUUCUAGAACAUUUUUCUAUGAAUAUAUUACUUAGUGGAAGCAAUGUCCCACUUUUUUUACUUUACAUUAUAGAAGCAUUUUCCAUACAAAUCAAAAUUUUUCAUACCCAUUAUUUUAAUAGAUGCAGAAUAUACUGUGCUAUGGACAUACGGCAGUUUACCACUUUCCCACAGUAGGCCGACAAUAGAGUGUUUUAAAUUUUACAUUAUAAUAAAUAUCCCACUGAGCAUUUGCUCCAUUUUGGAUCCUACCCUUAACUUUUCAAGGAACUUACUUUAUAGUUUAUUAUUUGACAAGAGCAUCAAUUCCUGGGACAUGCCAUGUUCCUUCUCUCCACCUCAUUUGCCCACUUAAUUCACUCUUUAGAUUUCAGGUCAAAGACCACUUCCUCCGGGAAGUCUUCCCAAACUUUAUAUUUGAUUAUGGUUUUCUGUUACAUAUUCUAAUUGUACAGUGUUCCUUUUUUCCAUAGCACUUACCUCUGGUUGUAAUAAUCUAUUCAUUUGUUUAUUACUUGGUUAAUUCUAUUUCCCCCUUGGACUAGAAUACUACAAUCACUAUCUGGAUAAGCAGUGAUUAUAACGUUAUAAACACAGCCCAAUUAAUGUGAUCUCAUUUGUUUCACUGACAAGAUGGGUUAAAGCUUGAGAUUGAAAUACAAUUAGUCCAGAAAUACUUACGGGUCAGGCAUUACUCUAGGUGCUGGGAAUAUUAGAAAUGAGAACACCAGGCGUGAUUUCAGUCUUCAUGGUGCUUAUAGUCUAAUGCAGCAUUUGGCAAACUAGGGGGACAGAUAAUAAAUAUUUGGGGUUUUCAGGCUAUAUGGCCUCUCACAACUACUCAACUUUGCCAUUGAAAUGCAAAAGCAAUCAUCAACAAUCAUAAAUAAGAGAGUGUGUUUAGGUUCCAAUAGAACUGCAGUGGGGCUGGAUUUGACCCAUGGGCUAUUGUUUACCCCUGGUCUGUUGGACAAGACAGCCAUUAAACUGAUCAUAUGAGAUGAUGAAUACUUCAAAAGAAAAGGACAGGGUGCAGUAAUGUCACAUGGCAGAGCUGUCUAACCUAGUUUAGGGAAAGGAACAAAGACUUCUUAAGGAAUAGACUUUAAAAUUUAAGGAAGAAGUGGAAUUAUCUAAAGUUAGGGCAACAGACUCCGUGAAGACCUGAAGUAUAGAAAGAGCAAGAAUAGAAAGAAAUUAAACUUAAGCUUGGAGAUUGAUAGGGAGAGGGAGCUGAAAUUGUAAGAAUGUAGAGUGAAAAGACAGAUUCAAGAAAAGACAAAUUUUCAAAACCUAAUACUCCCUAGAGGAAGAGGUGCCGGCAGGAAAGACUGAGAAGGGAUGAUCAAUGAGGCAUAGCAAUAGCAGGAAGUUUAAGACCUUACAGACACUGUAACCUCCUAUCUGUAUGUGUAGGAUAUGCUGGUUGGGAGAUACUAGCCUAAAGGCUACAUGAACCUCAGCGGACUGAUGUACUUUUUUGAAGGAUAAGAUUAUAUAUAUAUAUAUAUAUAUACAAAUAUAUAUAGGUGUAUAGAAAUAUAUAUAGAGAGAGAGAGAGAGAAGAAUAGAGCUGAGGGCUGAGUAAAGAUGAUUGGGAGUGAUAGGGUAGAGAAUGAAGAGUAGUAAAGAAAUCAAAAGUAAAAAGAUAGGAACAGAUUACUGGUAUAUAGUAGGUGCUCAAUAAUUUUUUGAUAAAUGAAUGAAAGGAUAUCAAUAUAAGAUCAAAGAAUCCAAGAGGGAAAGGGUUUCAAUAACAGGUUGGUCAAUAGUUUUGCAUACUUAAAAGAGCUAUUGCUCAAGGCUAGUUUCCUUGGCCAUCUGGGAAAAGAUGCAAGUAAGGACUCAGCCACUCCUGAUGCCCCAGCAUAGGAUAAGCCUGACCUUCCAAUUUCUACCUGUAGGAAAAGCUGACCCAGUUUCUUUCUUCCCUAAAGAUUUCAAUAAAUAGGAAUAGGGACCUUCCUGUGUCAGUACCUGCUCAAAACAGAAUAGGAACAAGAUUUUUUCAUGGAUUACAAUGACACUAGCUCAACUGUUACCUCUUCUCUCAGUCACCUAUGUUAAAUGUGUGUUUUAUUACUUAGUUCUAAACAUUUUGUAUUGUUUUAAUUUGUUAUUAACUUCUUAUUGAUAUCUAUAAAGUCCUAUGUUAGAUGCUGUAAUUUUUUUAAAAAUGUAAGACAUGGCUCUGGGCUCAAGUAUUAUGUAAUUAACCAAUAAAUUGUAAUCUUCUUGACAUAAGGAAUCAUAUUUGACAUUUCCUUUCCUUCCUUGCACAGUAUCAGGCAUAUGGUUGGUAUGUAGAAAUAAUUUUCCCCUGCCCUCUACAUUGCACCAUUUGGUGACCAAAUGGUGUCUAUCUAGCUACUUCUGUGUGACUUGGACAAAACAUGCUGCUUUCUGAGGCAAUGAUAUUCUCAAGGCAUCAGUAACAAUAAUUUCAGCUUGUUGAAGGUGGAGGUUCUUUGUGUAAAGGUCAGCCUGUCAGUAAAUAGCAUGCCACCCUGUUCUUUCAAGAUUAUAAGAAACCUUUGUACAUGUAUUUUUUAUACUUAAAAAAAAAAAAAGUAGUGGGAACCUGUACCCAGGGUCUCACCAGAUGUUUUCAAAUCAGAACUGGGGCAACUGAGUUGUAAUUUAUUUUUUAAACAUUUAUUUUUAGCAAUUUAUGAGAGUGGGGAGCUGAGAUUUUUCUUGCCUGAAUUAGCAAUAAUUUCAUUACCUAUUCAACGUUAGCAAAAUACUAAGCUAGCCCUAAGUUGAAAAUAUGAAACACAGGUUCUUACCAAGUCAAAAAAGUGGAACAAAGAUGAGUCUUAAGAAUGAAGGGAGGGGCGCCUGGGUGGCUCAGUCGGUUGGGCAUCUGUCUUCAGCUCGGGUCAUGGUCUCGGGGUCCUGGGAUCGAGCCCCACAUCGGGCUCCCUGCUCAGUGGGAAGCCUGCUUCUCCCUCUCCCUCUGCCUGCCUGUCUGCCUACUUGUGAUCUCUCUCUCUGUGUCAAAUAAAUAAAUAAAUAAAUAAAUAAAUAAAUAAAUAAAUAAUCUUUAAGUCUUUCAAGACUUAAAUUAUUAAAGACUGACACAUGGCUUACAGUCUUCCUGUUUUCCUUACUGCUACCCUUAUCCUGAGUGAAUCCAUCACCAACGUAGACAGAAUACCACCCUCGAAGUUCCUUGACAUCUCAUCCCCACUGAUCUUGGGCUGCUCGUUUCUGUUGCCAUACCUGGGAUCCUGUCAUACACCCAAUCUGUUUCACCUCUAACUGCAGACUUCACAUUCUCUGGCCACAACAUGCAUCCCAGCUCUCUCCCUCAGUUCCUCCCAGUACAUCAUUCUCAGUUCCCUGAUGUCUCCAGUGCUCUUCCUCUAUGUCAGUCUCUCGUCCUUCUCUGACGUGCGACCUCCAAUCCAGACUUCUGUUUUUUCUCCCUAUCAUCCUUCUCCUGCCUUUACUUCCUUUGAUCUUUUGCUGCAUUGUAUUUUAAAUUAUUUACCACUCUCUUGCCAGAACCACAUCACCUUUUCCCUGCUUGCCCUGCUGUCACUAACCUGGCAAAACACCAGCUCUAACUGGGUACCUGUACCCAGAUUGCUGAGUGCACCCAGUUAGAAAAAAUAGCACUGCUGUGUAGGUUGGCAUUUCACAUUGUCCAAUCAGGACCACAGACCCGUUAGGUCACUCUGUCCAUAUUGUUGGGAAGGGAAGGUUAGUUAUCCUUAUAUUGCUCUAGACUCUACUCCAUAUGCCAGGGUACACUUGUUAUAAAUUCUCCUUUGUAUACCCAAAAUUAGUAGUAGGCUGAAUAAUUUCAAAUGUCAUUACCCUCUCUCUGAGUCUCUAACAUAGCUUUUGUGCCUACUUUCCUGUUUUAACUUUAUCGUUUUGGGUCUAGUUCACCCAAUAAAGUAAAUUUCUAAUGUUUUUUAAAUUAAUAUUUGGUCAGUCAAAAAGAACAUGUCUCAGACAUUAUGGAAUGAAGUGAGAACUGAAGGCAAAUCACUUGUAGGGAUGAUUACCCUUUUUAGCAAGGCUUUUGUGAAUCUAAGUAGUCUCUAGUUGUUGUAACUCAGGGUCUGGGGACUUAGGCUCACCUCCCUUGAGUCAUUUCAUUCUUGCCUUUCCCAACUUCCCCCUUCCAGAUUUCAGAUUCUACAAAUUUUCUAAAACCAGACGCUUCUUUUUUCCUAAAGUAACAGAGAAAGCAGUGCUACUUGGGUAGGGAGAAGUGCAGGGUGCUGUUUGCGGGUGUAGGUCCUUUAUAUUGAAUGGCAGUAGCAUACUGGUGAAGAGUGUAGGCUCUAUACCCAGUUUCCCUACUUACCUGCUCUGUAACUUUGGGAAAAUUACUCUCUGUGCCUCAGUUUUCCCAUCUGUGAUAUAUAGAUGAUAAUACUAGUACCCACCUCAGUGUUGUUGUGAGGAUUGAAUUACAUGUAUUAAAUGAGUUAAUGCCUUAGAACUGGUGAGCACUCAGUACCUGUAAGCUAUUCAUAAUUUAGAAGCAGCUUCCCUAUUUCCUAAAAUACAUUUAUUCAUUACAAGAAGAGACUAAUGAUGAAAGCUAGAAGCUAUUAAAAUUCCAUUGAUUGGAUAUAAAAAGUAGACUUUUAGAAUUGCAAAAGACUCAAGAAAUUAUUUAGACCAUUGGUUUUUAACCAGUACUAUGCAUCAGAAUCACUUCUGAAGUGUAAAGCUGCAGUUACCCAGGCCCUCCCUUCUCACAUCUACCAAGUCAAAAUAAAAUGUCCACAGGCAAUCCCGGUGCAGUCUUCCUUGCAAGAACCACUGAAAUAAUUCAAGUCUUUAUGUUUUAUGAUAAGGAUAGUGAGACUUAGAAAGAAUACAUAACUUACCUAAGACCCCAUAGAAUAGGUAGGAUCAAGGUCACCUAGCUCCUUGAUAAGUGAUCUUCCUAUUCUUUUAUGUUGCCUGCCAAAAUAUAUUAACUUUCCAAGGAACUAAUAUGGGAGUUUAUCCUCCUCUCAGUAAUAUCAGGAAGAAUAAUAUAGGCUUGAAAAGUGUACUUUAUUCAUCAUUUAAUUCAAAAUAACAAAAUUUAUUGUACAAAUCAUGCAAAGGACUAUUGCACAUUUACAAUAGGAUUUAAAGUGAAUUUUGCUGUGCUUUUCAUGUGGACAUUAGUCUUUGCCACAAUGCUUGCUGCUAAUUAGUACAAGGAAAUACUGUGUGUGGCAGAGAGCUGCUUAACCCAACCUUACAGACUGAAAGCAAACAAAUGCUUUAUAGGGAAAGGUAGCUGUAGGAAUUAAACUUUGUAGCGCUCUCAAUAAUAAAAUAUGCAUUUUAUAUAAAUAGGAUUUUUUUUGUUUUACAUCUUAAGUUUUUUAUUUUUUUAAAAGAUUUUAUUUAUUUGAGAGAGCAAGAGAGCGAGAGAACAUGCAUGCAGUGUGCGCAUGUGCAAGCCGGGGGAGGAGCAGAGGGAGAGGGACAAGCAGACUCUGUGCUCUUGAGCGGGAAGCCCAUAGUGGGCCCUGACACGGGCCAGUCUCACGACCCUGAGAUCAUGACCUGAGCUGAAAUCAAGAGUUGGAUGCUUAACUGACUAAGCCACCCAGGUGCCCCUGUUUUAAGUUAAAAAAAAAAAAAAAAAGGCAAAAAAACCCUUGUAAAAAAUUCUUAGAAUUUUCUGGUCUAUAAACAGUUAAUGUAGAAAAAAAAAAUCAGUGGUUAUUAGGUAUAGUGUUCUUAUUGUAGCUUUAUUGAUUGGUAGUUUGAAAGUCUAAAAAAUAUAGCAAAACCAAAUUCUGAGUUUUUGUGUUUGGUUUGGGUACUAUGAUAUUAUCUCUCUUAAAAUAUGUUUUUCUUUAUCCAUAAUAUGGAGGAAUCAAAAAACUGCAUUAGAACUUGGAUGUGAAUUUAUGCAAAUAUGUGAAACAAAUUAAGAUGGCAGAGCAUAAGAAAAUGGAACUCAAAUGAAAUCUACCUCUCAAAGCAGGUCUAUUUAUAUUUCACUAUAUUUGCUGUUAUAAAUUUAUUUCCAUGUAUUUCUUUGCUGCCCACCCAACUUCUGACUCUUAGGCAACUCUGUUUUACUAAUAAACCACUCAUUUUGAUCCUGGAAAUGGUAUGCACAAGCCCCUAAAAGAAGUCCACCAUUCCAGAUCCCCAUCAACCUAUUAUUAAGCUACUGUUGCUUCUACUGUGUCUUUGCCUGAUUCCAAACCCUUUGUUCUACACUUCGUCUCAGGUUUGGGCUUUGGAUCUUUUUACUUGAUGCUUAUUUUUGGCUUCUUGGCACUGGCCUCUGUGCUCAAUCUAAUCAUCUUGGUUUAGACUCACCUUCUACUUCCAAGCUGCCAAGAUUUAAACCCUUUGAUUCUAGCAGUUCUGGAAUUACUAGCACAGCCACUGGCUGCUGCCUCGAGGAGACCAGUCCCAAAGACUAACCUCAUAUUAUAAACAUCCAUUUAUUCAUCUGUUCAACAGAUUUCAUUCAUCAGUACUAUGUGUAAACCACCAGAGUAGUUUCUGGAGGAAUAUAGAAGAUUAAUAAGUGAUAGAAAGCUCUUAAAAUCUGGUGGGACAAAUAAACAAGUAUAUAGUGAUAAUUUAAGAUAGUAUGUGUUCAACUCUUAUGAAAUAUGUAUAAAUGCAAGACAUCAAUUAACAAAAACUUCAAAUAGAUUUCUUUUCUUCUUUUCUUUUCUUUUUUCUUCUUUCAGUAGGCUCCAUGCCCAGCAUGGAACCCAAUGGGAGGCUUGAACUCACAACCCUGAGAUCAAGACCUGAACUCAAGACCUAAGCUGAGAUCAAGAGUCAGACCCUUAACUGACUGAGCCACCCAGGCACCCAAAAGCUUCAAACAGAAAGAUGUCUAACCACGAAGUUAGGGAUAUAGGGUACAAGGGGACAUGACCAAAAGAACCUGGCUGGGAUGGUGGGCCACGGAUUUAAAUAAAUUGAGAAUACUGACAGGUUAAGUUAACAAACUUGAAGGUAGGGUAGGAUAAACACCAUGGGAGAAAGGCAUUCCAAAAAGUAGAACCAAAGCAAUAGGAACAGAAAAAGUAAGUUAUAUUUAAAAAUCUUACCUAGAUUGGUUGACAGUAUAAGUAGAAAUGGAAGAAAGCCUUAAAAAACUGGUUGGAACCAGAUUAUUGAAGGCUUUGAGUACGGAGAAUUUAGAAUUGGCAAACAUAUACUGGGGAGUCAGAAGGUUUUGAGCAGGAAAUGAUAACUGGCUUGAUUUAACAGUGGUAUACAGGAAGGAGUUGGUAGUGAGGAGAUAGGCAGCAGAGACUGCAGACCAGGAAAUCAGUUAGGAGUCUAUUACAGUAAUCUAAGGUAGGGAAGGCCUGGGGAUGAAGACUUUAUUCAUUUCAUUAAGUGCCUGCUAUGAGCAAGGUGCUAGUGAUGCAAUGAGGACUAGGUCCUUGUCAUGCGGCGUUUUCAAUCUAGUGAGACAUUGAUCUCUUAAAGACUCCUAGAGGGGUCUCUAUUUUGGGACCAGUUCUGACCUUUGCCUGAUUACUAAGGAUUAGGUCCUGAUUUAACAAUGAGAUGUAUUUCCUACCUUAUAAAACUACUUUUCCAUUUUAUGAGUCUGUUAAGGCGAAGGUAUCCCAUCCACUUGCACAUAAAGAAAAGCAAUUUAUUACUUAAAACAAGAUAAGACAGGUACACUACCAGACAAGGCAAAGAAGAAAAUGACAUGUGUUUUAAAGAGAUAACUGAAGAGUAUGUGGAGAAUGAAUUGGAGGUUAGAUUAGGGGCAAGAAAACCGGUUAAGAGGUUGUUGUAGUAAUCCACCUGCUUGAUUGUGAGGGCCUGAACGAAGACCGUAUGAAAGAAGAACAAUCAUUGGUGGCUGCUUCCACUAUAGUCCUUUCUAUCCCUGCCCUCAACUAAAGAAUGGGUAGGGGACUCUCAUUUGGAAUUGAAUCUUUUUUUUUUUUUUUUUUUUUGAGAGAGAGAGAGUGAGUAAGUGGGGGGAAGGACAGAAGGAGAGGGAGAGAGAAUCCAGAGCAGACUCCUCGCUGAGCAUGGAGCCGGACACCCAGCUUGAUCCCAGGACCCUGAAAUCAUGACCCCAGCCGAAAUGAAGAGUGGGACACUCAACUGACAGAGCCACCCAGGCAUCCUUGGAAUUGAAUCUUGAACAGAGGGACUCAGGAACACAAGAAACACUGUUUACUUUUUCAGAUUUAGAGGUAAUGCUCCUAUUAUCAAGUAGUCUGUUUUCUGUUUUCCUUAUUUGGAGCAUGGUUCACCAGCCUUCACAUUGAUUCUGCGAGCUCCCUAAUAAAUUCUUGGUUUUGCUUUAGCUAGCCCAAAUUGGUUCCUAGGGCUUACAAUUAAAAACAAAACAAACAAACAAAAACACCCUAAUUGACCCUGUAUGCAGUGUUUGAAUCACUUGUGCAAUGUUUGAUAACCAGUAGAGACUGUUAGGUAGUAGGAAAUACGAAACUACAGUAGUGGUUCUCAAAGUUAUGCAUCAGCAUCACCUGAGAACUUGUUAAUAAUGUAAAUUCUCAGGCUUCACUCCAGACUUACUGAAUAUGAAACUCAAGCAGUGGGGCCCUAACAAUCUGAACAUUAGUAUGCCCUCUGGGUGAUUCUAAUGCACACUGAAUUUGAGAACCCACCCAACUAGAGCUUAGAAGGGAGAUUUAGGGUGGAGAUAAAGAUGUGUGAGUCAAAUAUAUGAUAAUUGCUAUUGGGGGAAUGAAUAAACUCCAAGAGUAGAAGAGAGAAGAUGAGCCCCUGAAAUAGAUGAAACAAUCAAAGAAAUUGAGACCAGUGCAGUACAAUCAGGGAGGGGGAAAUUUAACAGGUAUCAGGCGAUCUACAGUGUCAGGUGCUAUACAGAGGCCAAGGUAGAUAAGGACAGAGUCACAGCUAUAGGAGUGCCCAUUAGGAGGUUUUGCUGUCAAUUAAGAGAAGUGAUACAGAUAACAAGAAUAAGUGGUAAGAAAACACAGCCAAAAAAAAAAUAAACGGUACUUUUUGCAGCAGUUUGGGAGUGCAAGAAAGUAAGUAUAGUAAGGUCAAGAAGAGCUUUUUCAGGGUAGAUAUUUCAGUUAGCUUUUGCUGCAUAACGAACACUGGAAAACUCAGUGGCUUAAGACUGCAGUUAUUAUUGGGGCGCCUGGGUGGCUCAGUUGGCAUCUGCCUUUGGCUCAGGUCAUGAUCUCAGGGUCCUGGGAUCGAGCCCCACAUCGGGCUCCCUGCUCAGCAGGGAGCCUGCCUCCUGCCCCCCCCCCCCCGCUACUCCCCCUGCUUGGGCGCUCUCUCUCUCUCUCUUUCUCACUCUCGCCCUUGCUCUCUCUCUCAAAUAAAUAAAAUCUUAAAAAAAAAAGGCUGCAGUUAUUAUUAUAGCUCGUGUCUGAGGGUUGGCUGAUCUCAGUGGGGGCUGCUUGUGCAUCUACAAGCCUACUCAGGAGCUUUGUUCCAUGUUGGACUCUAUUUCACAUGUCAUCCUCCUCCUGUCUGGCUUACCUAGGCAUAGCCUUCUCAUGGAGAUGGAAGAAGAAUUUUAAGAGGACAAGCAGAAACAUACAAGGCCCCUUAAAUCCUUGACUCCAAACUGACACACCAGCACUUCUGCUUCAUUCUGUUGACCAGAUCAGGUUAUGUGGCUAAGUUCAGAUUCAAGGGGUGGGAAAUAGAAUUUAUCUUUGUAGAGAAAUUGCAAAGUGACACAGCAAAGGGCAUGGGUGGGCUCAUGGAGGGAUAUAGAAUUGGGAUCAUUCAUACUGUAGUAGGGAUGACAUGAGUAUGCUUGAAAGUAGAAUGGAAGGAAUAUGUAGAAUGAAAAAGAAAGUGAACCAAGGAGAAAGAUCAGUACCAUAGCUCAGAGAAUUAACCUUUAAAAAAAGGAAGGGUGCUUCUGGGAAUGAAAAGUAAGGGAAUUUGAUUGGAUUAGAUUUAGCAAAUUAAAAUGCAAGAUGCCCAGUAAAAUUCAGGUACACAAUGAAUACAUUUUUAGUAUUAAGUAUAUUCUGUACACUAUUUGGUAGGGUCUCAGUACAUAGUUUGCUGGGGAUUUUUAUUUUAAAUGGCAUUUAGAUAUUUCUAUAAUGCAAUAUUUGGGACAUACUUAUACUAAAAUAUGAUCGUUUGUUUAUUUGAAACUCAGAUUUAACUGGGCAUCCUGUAUUUUAUCUGGCAACACUACUUUGGAUGGAUUUUAAGUAAAUCCAUAGUAAAAUAAUCUACAAAGGAAUAGGUGGGUGUGCUUGGGGGUUUAAUCCUGGAAGAAGUUGGGAACAGCUGCUAUGGAUGCUGCGAAGUGUCAAAGAAAGGAUUGCUGAGCAGCAGUGAAGGCCUCUUCACAACAGGAAGCAUGACUUUUUCUUGGAUUAAAUCAGCUGUGAUGUUUCACUGCUGGGAAGCAGUAGUAGUAACAGAGAUUGCUGGUGCAGGCGACCACCUUGGUUUGACUUCAGUAGGAGAGGUCAGGGCAGGAGUAUAAUUGGGGUAUAAUUGAAAUGACUGGGGGUCCAGGUUGUAUAGGGAGGCAGGUGAAACCAGAAGGUGAAUCGGGAGGCAGAAGGUAAACAGUGAGUCAGAAUGGUAUUAAGAGGUGGAAGUUCACAAAGAAACGGAAUCUACAAUCUUAGAAUAGUUCUGUGUGAUAAUGGGGUUUAAAAUCCAAUUUCACAUUAUAGCACUGGAGCUAAAUUAAAAGCAAGAGCUCUGCAGACAAGGCACCUGGUUCUGCUUUCUAUUUGUGUGAUCUUUAACUUCCCUAUGCCUUAAGCUCUUUGUUAAGUAGGAAUAAUAAUAGUUCUUACCUCAUAGGGUUAUUGUGGGGAUUAGGUGAAACAAACCAUAUGAAGUACUUAGAACAGUAUGUCUGAUACACAGUAAACCCUCAAAUGUUGGUAAUGUUUUAUUAUUUUAAAUACCACUUACAUGCAUCUAUAAUCAAUAAAUGGGAGUGCUCUGGAGAAUAUUAUUUUAAAGCAAAAUGGCAAGCACACAUAGUAUGUUUUCCACCAUAGCUAACAAAUGCUAUGUUUGGUAAAUAUAUGUACAAUCAGCUACCUGUUGAUGUUGGAGCCCACAAAACCUUUACCAUGUAAGGUUGUUUUCUUUACUUUUACUACAAGAAAAUAAUUACCAUGCUCAAGUCAUAUCUGUCUCCUCAUUUCCCCAUAGGUGACCAUGCUUUGGGAUUUUCAUAGUUUGAGUUAAUUCCUCUGGGCUCCGCCACCCAGUGAGUUAAACAGGACAAGAUUCCACCCAGAGGAUUGUGGUUCUGGGAAUGUAAGCAGCUUGUUUUCAUGAGAUCUGCACCCUGACCUGGCCUACUGUUAGGAGCGGUUGUGUUGGUGGUUGUGUGUUUUUAGUCGUUUUUUCUAUCUUAUACAGUUAUUUGUAUAUAAACAUUUUUUAAAGUAAAUAUUUUAUGGGGAUGUUUUGUUUAUCCAAAGAAAAAUUAAAACUAUUUUGAAGUAAUUACAUGUGUCAUAUUUUUCUCUUUCAAAAUAAAUGAAAGUAUUAAUUCAUAGUUUCUGGAAAGAAAAUGAAAACCCCAGAAAUGGCUAUGUUCUUAAUGUUUGAAAAUAGGGUAAUAUUAUUCUCUGUUCGAAUGGAGUCUUCCAAGGAAUUACUAGAGUCUCAUACACAAUCGACUUAAAUGCAUUCUUUAUCUUUAAAAGGAAGCAGAAUAGAAUCAUUGAGUAAGUCACAUGUGUUCGCAGCCUUGUCUGGUGUAAUCAUAUCCUACACAAACACAUUAUUCUCUAGUCAGAAGGGUAAGGGGAAUUUGAAACAGGACCUGCCCUUGUGGAGCCCUUUUUUUAUUUAAAGAAUAGUGCAGUGAGAGACCACAUAGUAGAAGAUAACAGAAAAUAUCUUCCACGCCUUCCUCAACCUGUAUACUUUCUCAUUCUCUUUUGUUCUCUAAGGACAUCUGUGGUAAUGAUUAUUCUGUAAAACUCAUAGGUAUAUAGCAGAAGGCAUAUCAUAUUUCAUUUAUUAUUUUGUCUACUAUAAUUAUUGCUCUUUUACAUCAUGCCAUUGUACGUCUUUAAAAUAUUUUGUUUAUAAAAGAUAUGAAAGGAUAUUACAGAAAAUUUAUUGGUUAACUAUAGAUAUCUAAAGAGUAAAUGUUUUAACUCUGAAUUUAAUUAUAUCUUAGGAAGUCUAAUAGAUUUGUAUUAAGCUACAUUUUAAAGAGAUAAAUGUGGUUAAAAGAGAUGCUAAAAUCUGAAUUUAAUUUUCCUUUUUUAUAUUAAUUGCAGUGGAUUUUUAAAAAUGUCCUAACGUAGGCAUUUAAAAGAUAUUCUUAAUUACAAACAACAGUGACGUGAGAUUUUGGAGGCUUUAAAAUAGGUCCAUUAUUUGAAAUGUUUUCAACAUUUUGAUGGCUGGUUUGCUGUCUAUAUAAUGGUUGCAAUUAAAAAUUAAACUUUAAAAAAAAUUAAACUUUUUAAAAAAAAUAAUUUUUUUUUAAAAUUCAAGUUUUUACUUCUUAUUAAGGGUUUUUAUAUUGCCUCCCAGUUUUCCCCUAGGUUAAUCCUUUGGGAAUUUUGAAAUUUACAUCUGAAGGGGUUUUUUUUAAUCUUUUUAUUAUAAAAAUUUUGAACACAUACAAAAAUAGAACAAAUAGUAUGAUGAGCCCCCAAGUUAUAUUUGAGCUUUAAGUGAUAUAUUAGUAUAAGUGCUACAUUUAUUAAUACAACAGAUGUUCAGGAACUCCAGGAAUGGUUGUGGCUUAAUACACACUUGAAAGAAUCUGUAUAAAUCAAAUUUUUAAAAAUAUCCCACCAUUUCCCAACCUAUGACAGACUGUAUUUCAAAUGUUUGUUGAUGGUCAGCCAAUUUUUGGACCUACAAAUAUGAUUCUCAUAGAAAUAAUCUUAAAAUGGCUAUUUGCUUUUCAGGCCAACUCUCAGAAAUUUGUCUAAUUCACAUUAAGGGAAACCCAUACAUCUCUUUUAACAUCAUUUCAAUGAGAAAAUGCUUCCUUUACAAUUGGAAUACUACGGAACAACUGCCACCCAUCUUCUCUUCUACUAAGUAUGGGGGAUAGGAAAGUGGGGAGUCAAGCUCUGGUGAUGGAGAUUCAUUUCCAUGAUGGGCUCUUGAUUCUCUCAGAAAAACCAGUGGGAACUCUGAGAAGACAGUAGGAGGGUGGGGGGAUGGGAGUGCACUCUGUACACACCAUUCUGAAAUUAUUUACCUUUUCUUCAGCUAGUGGAGUUUUUGGGGUUUUUUUUAACGCCUAUUAAAAAAAAGAGGGGUGCCUGGGUGGCUCAGUUGGUCAACUUCCGAUUCUUGAUUUUAGCUCAGGUCAUGAUCUCAGGGUCAUGUGAUCAAGCCCCAUGUUGGGCUCUGCCCUAAGUGGGGAGUCUGCCUGGGAUUCUCUCUCUCCCUCUCCCUCUCCCUCUCCCCCCCCCCACACGGAGCACACAUCCUCUAAAAAUAAAUAAAAAACACUUGCUUAAAAAAAUAAAAAAGAAACCUUCCUUUGUAAAACAAAUACCGUGUCAUAUCUGAAGUUUACAUUUUACAGACUUUUAAAUUAGGCUUCUGAUUUUUUUCUUUAAGUUUCUGACACAGGGGAAAAUUAUUUUCACUGCUGAGAUAUGCCUAAGACAACAAGAAAAGAUUCCUGACUACUAAAACAGAAAAUUAGAAAAUAAACAUAAGUAUUAAAUUGCCAAUAAGCUAAAAUCAGACGGAUGCAAUAAUGUUUAUAGUGAACCUCUAAGUAGUAUUAAGCUUUUAGAGUAUCUGGGAAUGACAAAGCAGAAAGAUGGGUUCUGAUGCUUUUGUCAUGCCACCCUAUACUCACACUGUUCCAAAUUGACCUUAAAUUCUUAUUUUUCCAAAACCCUUCUCUAAGCAAAAACUUGGAGCCAUAGAACUGUGCUCAUCAACUUCUCGUUUUCAUUCUGUAUGCAAUCUGAAAUAAAAUGGGAACUAGAGCAAGUGCUUUACGGGUAGAGCAACAGGGUCAAGAUCCAGAAAGCAUGGAAUAGCUGAAAACAAGGUCAGCUCAGAGCUAGGAACUCCAAACAUUGCAAUGCUUUCUGAGCCUGAGACAGUCGCUUAACCUCCCAAGGUAGUAAAAUGAAUGGUUGAAAUGAAUCAGCCCUAUUUCUUCUAGUUCUAAAAGUCCCAUCUGUGAAUGGCCAUCCUUGAUCCUGUAAAGUCUUUAAAUGCUAGUGUGGUGUGACUGUUACCCUCUCAGCUAAGUUAGGUUCCAUGUGUAUGCUUGUGAAUGCUUGACGGCAGGCCCCCAAAGCAGGCUAGCCUCGUUUUCCAGAGGGAGUAAUGCCAGUACUCCUAAGUACAAAAAGAACCAGGCAUACUUUGUGAUGAGUCCACCGAAGGUCCCACAGCGUGAUCUACCAUAGCUUCACUCCUGACCCAUGCUCCCAUCAGAUAAAGGGCCUACUGUGUGUUAAGUACUGUAGUAAUGAGGUAACUUACAUGUUACUGUAUUAAUCCCUACAGUAACCCUAAGAAUGGGGGUAUUGUCAUUUUACAGAUGAGGAAGUUUGCUAAGAACCUUAGUGAUGGAGCUAGUGAAUGGUAAAACUACAUUCAACCUGCUAUAAGGGGGAUGAACUACAGAUCACUUAUUUAAACCCACCCGCUAAACUAGCUAAGGAGAGAAAACCAAGAAGGCUUCUCUUAAACUCACCAGCAGUUUUAAGAACUCUGGCUCCUCUGCCUAGGGGACCUGGCCCUCACAACUCCCAGAGUUAGCUCAUUUUCUCAAGAUCCACUCCCUGCCCCCCCAUACACACACAUACACACACAAGUCCAGGGUAAGCCUAUCCCCUCCCAGCCCUUCUGAAGUCUCAGGAGAGUGGCCUGCUGCUUUCACAAGGCUCCUGCAGCUAGAAACCCAGUCCUCUCUAACCCAGAUGAGGAAACUCUGGACUUGAUAUUAAGGUAUUGUUCCAGAAGAACUCUUCAAGUAUGAGGGAAGCCCCUCCCUGCCUACCGGUGGUGCUGAGAGUGCCAGAGGCCAAGAUCCCCUGCCAACCAGUGCAAGUCGGGGAAGAGCCUGCAUGAAGGUAGUAGCUCAAGAGGAAUAGAAAUAAACUGCGAGGAACUGGAGUUGUCUGGUGAUCUUAGCGAGGAGCUUCGAGGCGCAGGAAAGUUUCUUCUGCCCAAGAAAGUUUCUUCUGCAUCAAUAACUUCUCCAGUAACUUCAAGGAUGGCUACUUCUAGAUCCCUGAAUUCCUAACUGCUGAUGAAGGAGAAUCCAAAUUUUAGAUAUCAGAGUAAGAAACUCCCCAGAAACAGCAGAGGGCUGUUCUCAAGGUAUGUUUCUGGGACCAGCAGCAUUAGCCUCACCUGGGAACUUGUUAAAGAUGCAAAUGAUUGAGCCCCCCCUGAAUCAGAAGUGGGAUCCAGGAAUAUGUGUUUUCACAACCAUCCAGGUGGUCCUGAUGUACACUAAAGUUUGAAAACCACUGGCCUAGGAAAAUGAAGGAUAAUCCCAGGUUCUCUACAUUAACCUAGAAUUAAUCUGCAACACCUGCCUAGGGCGAGAGUCUCCCCUCCCCUCCCCCACCCCAACUUUAACCAGUGCUAGAGCUCAGUGGUUAGAGUUAGGUGACUUUCCCAACCAAGGCUAUUGCCUAGUUGCUCAUUAUUUUCCUUGAAAACUCCUAGGAAAAUUUUGGGCAGAUAGCAGAUGAUCAGUAAUGACUGAACUGAAAUUUUAAAACAUUGUUUAUGAUAGGGAAAUUGGAAAUAACUUCAAUGUCUAUUAAUAGGAUUUCGAUUAAAAACAAAUUCUAGGAGGAUUGGGUCCAACACCGACCAAUACUACGUUCACUAUAUUCUUAUUGCCUAACAUAGUAUAAAUAUUUAAUAUUUGUUGAUUGAAUGAAUAAAUAUAUCUUCAUAUAUAUUCAAGUCCUGAAGUACAAUGCAGCAUUAAAAAAAGAUGUUUUCUAAUAGCAAUCCCACUCCUGUGUAUUUACCCAAAAACCUGGAAGUCAAUGUUUAUAGCAACUCUACUCAUAAUUGCCAAAAUUUGGAAACAACUCAAAUGUUCUUCACCUGAUGAGUGGAUCAGGGCGGGACCACAUUUCAGGAAGUAGUUAAAGGUACCUUAUUUUAUGUUACUGUAUGAAUUUUUUUCAAAGAAUUUAUUUAUAUAUUAUGUUAAGAAAUAAACAACAUUUUAAAUACUGGAAGGGUAAACACCCAAAAUGUUAAUAAUAGUUAUCUCUGGUUGAUGGGAUGACAAGUGGUUUUUGUUUUCUUUUGUCUUAUUUCUAGUUUCUAAUUUUUCAGUAUAAACAAGUUAUGCUAUUAUAACUAGAAAAAAAAAACAAGUUACUUUUUAAAAUGGGGAGACCUGGAAGCAUAGCGACUCAUAAAAAAUGUAUACAAAUUAGAAAUGUGUAAAUUAUAAGAAUAUUCAAAACUAAGUUUCACUGAAAAAAGAAUUUGGAUACCACCCUCUAGAAUAGUGCUUCUGAAAGUCCUUACAAAUCACCUGCAGUGCUUGUUGAGAUGCAGAUUCUCAUUCCAAGAAUUUGCAUUUCUAACAAGCUCCCACAUGAUCCCAACGCUCCUGGUCCACGGAGGACUUUGAGUAUCAGGGCUCUAAAACUACUGCUGUCAAGAAAGCAGCCACUAAGCCACAUGUGGCUCUUAAGUAUUUGGAAUGUGGCUAGUCAGAAUUGAGAUGUACAAAUGUAAAAUACACACUGGCUUUUGAAGACUUAACACACACACACAAAGAAUGUAAAACAUCUUAACAAUUAUAUUAAGUAUAUGUUGAAAUGAUUUUUUGAACAUAUGAUGUUAAAGAACCUAUAUCAUUAAAAUUAAUUUCACAUGUUUCUUUUUACCAUUUUAAUGUGGCUACUAGAAAAUUUUAAAUCACAUUUGUGGUUUGCAUUUUUUGGCUUGUAUUAUAUUUUUAUUGGAUAGUACUGAUCUAGAAAAACCAUUAACAGGAUUUUACUUCACUCUGGGUCUUAAAUCACCAAUAUAAUGCAGGAAAAGGAUUAAUACCCCAUUAAUGGCCAAACUGGCAACUUUUGUAUAUACACAUAAACAUUUGUAGGAAUUCUGAAAAUCUAUAGGUAGAGGUUGAGACAAAUACAAAUCAAAAUUUUAGACCAGGUGGGAAAUUUUGAGGUCAUCAAGUUGGAACCCCUUGUCUUGCGAAAUUAUUUAUCAAUUUGACAAAGAUGGAUUCAGUACUUCAUAUCUGUAAAUGCUGAAUAGGUACUGACAUGACAGUUAAGUGACUGCAGUGGGGAGCCUCCCCUGAAGAAGCUAAGGAUGAUAGCAGUGGUCUGUCAGAGGACCCCAGGAGGCAGGUUGAUGGAGGACUCACAGGUUGAUGGAGGCAGAGGCCAACACAGACUCCAUUUUCCUGAGAAGAAUCAGAUGAGCUCCACACAUGAGGGCUUACUGGGCCGGCUCUCAGUUUCCCCAGGUUUUAUAGCUUCUGUUUGGUAUUAACGAUGCAAAUAAGGCUUUAAGAUUAGCUGUUUUUUAAGUAAUCAAUGCAAUGCAAGGCAUGCUGUCCCCUCCUCCCUCACACAAAAGACACUUUUCAGAAAGCAAAGACGCUUAGACCUGAGAAACUUUGAAACUUUGAAACUUUGAACAUGGUUGAUGGCAGCAGAGUGAAAUCUGGAGUUUGGCAGAAGCACCAUCAGCCUUCAAUUAUGUGUGCAAAUGAGGGGCAAGAAGUGCUGAGGUGAUUAAAAUCUAUGAAUAAAUCAAAAAGCUCAUUUUAGUGAUUAUUUUUUAAAUUUAUUUAUCAAGAAUAUCUUGGGCGCCUGGGUGGCUCAGUUGGUUAAGCGACUGCCUUCGGCUCAGGUCAUGAUCCUGGAGUCCCUGGAUCGAGUCCUGCAUCGGGCUCCCUGCUCAGCAGGGAGCCUGCUUCUCCCUCUAACCCUCCCCCCUCUCAUGUACUCUCUCUCUAUCAUUCUCGCUCUCUCAAAUAAAUAAAUAAAUCUUUAAAAAAAAAAAAAGAAUAUCUUUAACACCAGAGACAUCACAACUGAAAUUUGUUCUUAUUGGAGUUACAUUUCCUUUCUGUGAGGGAAUGAAAAGACAAAUUUAGGAUAAAUAAUAAAGCUUUUCAGUGAAUUACGAAAAUUCUUGUUACUCCAAGAGGUAGUAUAGGCUGAAAACAUAAACAACCCUUUACAGUUUUUUUUAGUUAAAAUCUGGGUCUCCCCCCUGCCCUCCUGCCAUAAUGUUUCUACCAUUUAUAAUACAGUAUUAAAGGAAUCCAGGUUGCUUUGGUAUGCAUUCUUAACCUAUCCUUCAUUACAUGCACAGACCCAACGGCCCAUGUGAUCAUGGGUUGGAUCUAAUCUGAACAUUUGUAUUAUUCAUUUUCAACCAAUAUUUUUUAAAUUGCCCAUCUGGAAAAAGUCAAACCUACCUGAGAAUGGCCGGAUGGGCCUUGCCCAAGAGUGAAAAACUGCCUAAAGACAUUCAAAACUAAAACUUGGACUAAGCAGAAUAAAUAGUUCUGUGUAAGAAUUAUAACUGCUUUCCUCUGUCUUUAAGAAUAGUUGGAACAGCAUUUCUAGAACCUUAAAUGUUUGCUAGCAAGCAGUGAGUUUGUUUCAUUGAUUUUGCUUCAUUCAUACCAAAAAGUAGAGUAUACUGACUCUUCAGUUGGCUUUGCAUAUUCCUAAUGAUCUUUUUAAAAUAUUUAUUUAUUUAUUUAUUUUAAGGGGGGCGGGUGUGGAGAGGGGCAGAGGGAGAGAAUCUCAAGCAGACUCCCGGCUGAGCAUGGGGCUCAUUGUGGGCUCCACACAGGCUCAGCGUGGGGCUCAACUGGGAACUCAAUCUCACGACCCAGAGAUCAUGACCUGAGCCGAAACCAAGAGUUAGACACUUAACUGACUGAGCCACCCAGGUGCCCCUAUUCACAACGAUUUUUUAAACAUCUCAUUCCCCAACAUGAGCAGUAAUUAUUUAUAGGAAGUGGCCUAAUUUUUUUUUAAAGAUUUUAUUUAUUUAUUUGACAGAGAGAAUGAGAGAGGGAACACAAGCAGGGGGAGUGGGAGAGGGAGAAGCAGGCCUCCCACGGAGCCCGAUGCGGGGCUCGAUCCCAGGACCCUGGGAUCAUGACCUGGGGCGAAGGCAGAUGCUCAACUACUGAGCCACCCAGGCACCCCAAGAAGUGGCCUAAUUUUUAAAAAUAAUAAUCUGCUAUCCCCUCCACACACAAAAGGAAAACUCAUAAUUUCCCUGUUAAAAAUAUGUCUGUUAUAAAGAUACAUGUCCUUUGGAUCCCCAUGUUGUGGGAUGCGGGCAAUCCCUGUCUUGGAAUAUCCCCUAAUGGAAGGACUAGGGAUGAUGAGACAGUUACAAAAGAUUUAGAUUCUGGAAAAAUAUAUACAUGUAAGUGUAGUCCAAUAAUGUAAUUUAAGUAUGAUUUUUCCCCCCUUCAAAUACAGAGUUUUAGGAGAAUAAGAUGUUUUAGGAGAAUCAACACACUGCUCAUGUCUCAUGAAACUCCAAGAUUGCUUUUCUCUUUUUCUGAGUUGCAUCAAUAGAAGAAAUAUGAAAUGAUAAUUAGUCUUCUUCUCACCUUAUCAUAGGUUUUCUAGAUCUAUAAUUUUGAUGCAUAGUAUAUUUAUGAUACAACUUACACCCUUAUUUAUUUGAGAUGAAUUAUUAGAUGCUAUUUGCAGGCCGUGAAAAAAUCACCACUCAUUUCUUUCUAAGCCUCCGAUAUCAGGUGGUCAUUAGAGAGUUUCACAGCCUUUUUGAAAAAAUUUCUAAUCAUCCAACCCUUUAAACAAGUAUUUUCCCCUCUAUGACAUUAAUUUCUCCUUGAAGUGUUUACUUCAGUUAUAAUUUUAGGGGAAAUGGGAAAUACAAUGAUAAGUGCAUUUACGUUCAUAAUGUGCUGAUUCUCUUUUGAAAGGAGUCUGGUAAUAAAGAAGGAAUUCAAACAAAUGCAAUCUAGUUUCUGCGAAAGUACAAGAAAGCUACAGAUCUGCCAACAUUCCGUUCACAUUGAGCUAUGCAUUUCUGAGGCAGGUCUACCCUUACUAGAGGGCAGAAUUUUCCCUCUCUCUCCAGAGAAUAGGCAUAAUAAAGAUGGAUAGCCAUUGAUAAUUACUUGGCUUCAAAAUGAUGCCUUCUUCAUGUCCAUAGAUUUAGGAGCAAGAUGUUUAGAGAACUGUUCCAAAUGUCUGUUGGGUUGAAAAGACCAACCACGGCAAAUCCAAACUUCAUUUUCUUACUCUCCUAAUCCACUGAUUUAUACCUUCUCCUCAUCUAGCCACCAAUACCUCCUGCCCCACUAUCCUGAUCACCCUUGCUUCCUCUUUCCCUGAGAAGUAGGAGUAAUCGGAAAAGAACUUUCACGGACCACACCGCUGGGUCCACAGUCACCUACCGGCAUCUGUGCCCAUGUUGUCUGCCUGCCUUCCUGUUUCUUGCUCCAAAUGAGACCUUCCCAGCUCCACUUCUCUGUGGCUUGUGCACCAGAUCCCAUCCCUUCCCCUGCUCAAGGAUAGUGAAUCAGCAACUCUCCCCUCUCCCCUGCGUCAUCAUUCCCACCCUCUCUCCUGGAUCACUCCCAUUCAUCUAAAGGACUACCACUUAAGUGGGAACAGUCAUCAGCUCUCUCUUGGAUUCUUGUAGGAGCCUCCUAACUGGCCACCUUCUUUCAGCCUCUGCUCCCCUUUGGUCUGUACUCAUCUCAACAGCCAGCAUGCUUCUGCGGAAAUCCAAGGAGAUCUUAUCACUCCUUUGCUCAAAACCCUCCCCAGGCUUCACACCUCAGGGAGUAUAAAAGCUGGAGUCCUUACAAAGGUGUUGUAAGGUCCUGUUUGGUCCUCCCGGCCCUCCUCCUCCCUUUAUCACUUGCACUCCACCUGCUUCUCCCCCUGGGCUCUUGCUGCACCAGCCACAACAAUGCUAUAUACCACUUGUACCAGAUUCUCACAUAGAUUGUUCCCUUCCUUCCUUUGAUCUUUCCUCUAACAUCACCUUCUCAAUAAGGUCUUUCCUGCCCAUUCUUGGAAAUGAUAACUCCCCCUACCUCCCCUGCUCUAUUUAUUUUUCACUUCUCUUCAUGUGGUGAAAUACUAUGUUUUCACUUAAUUGUUGUUUACAGUCUCUUUGCCCUCACCCCAAGUAAGAUCCAUGAGUGGUUGGGAUUUUUCCCCCUUUUUACCUCCUUCCCAUAUUAUGGGUAUAUUCCCUGAACAUAGUAAAUGCUCAAUAAAUAUCUGUUAAAAGAAUGAAUCUGUCUUUAUGGAAGUGUAACUGGAAAAUAAUGUGGGUGUAGUGUAAGCCCUGAUAGUUGUUUUUUGUUCUUCUUUUUUUGUUGUUUGUUUGUUUUUUAUAAUGCAAAUGCCUGAUUUAAGAUUUGAUUGCAUCCGCUUCAAAGAGGCAUUCACUUCAAAGACGGCUAUUUCCAACAGACACGUUGCCAGCCACACGACUAGAUACAGAGCCAGGCCGCCUCCCUCCGUUGAGGUUCCUUUGUUUUAGAGAUCUUGGUUGAUCUUGAUAACUGACCAUUUGGGCCACUUGUUUUUUCCUAGGCUUUAAAUUCCUGCUUUUACAUUUUAAACUCACCAAUAAAGAGUGAGGUGAAACCUUAGACUCCCAACUUCACCCCCAAUAAAAGCAGAACCCCAGGUCCCUGCACUCACUGUGCUUUCUCUUUCUACCCAUGACCUUGCUGUGUGGCCCCCAGUGUGCCGUGUAGUUUCCAGGUCCUCUUAGUAAUAAAACUUUAUUUUUUUUUUUCAACGUUUCCUGACAGUUAUUGCUGAAGGGCAUCUUGCAAUGAUCAGAACCACAAGGACCACUCUAGCCGCAACACUGGUGAUUGACAGGCUGAGACCAACACACAACUGGCCUUGCAUGAUUGCCCUUGCAAUUAACCGCGGGAAAUGCCUUUACCUGCAACGUGCUUACUAACCACCAAAGUCAGGGGGGUAACACCAUCUGAGAAAGAAGCACGCAAGCUGGGGGUCUGUCGUGCCGCUAUACACUUUCACAUACUGCCUACAGUA
Mirounga angustirostris (Northern elephant seal) is the source of this 26292-nucleotide RNA transcript. RefSeq lists it as uncharacterized. The record is from RefSeq and is a predicted model, not a curated record. The transcript is spliced from 2 exons. NCBI's taxonomy places the organism in Eukaryota, Metazoa, Chordata, Mammalia, Carnivora, Phocidae.